UGUCCGGAUUUACUGGGUGUAAAGGGUGCGUAGGCGGCUUUGCAAGUCAGAUGUGAAAUCUAUGGGCUCAACCCAUAAACUGCAUUUGAAACUGUAGAGCUUGAGUGAAGUAGAGGCAGGCGGAAUUCCCCGUGUAGCGGUGAAAUGCGUAGAGAUGGGGAGGAACACCAGUGGCGAAGGCGGCCUGCUGGGCUUUAACUGACGCUGAGGCACGAAAGCGUGGGUAGCAAACAGGAUUAGAUACCCUGGUAGUCCACGCUGUAAACGAUGAUUACUAGGUGUGGGGG
Molecule: ribosomal RNA, 287 nt
Filed under: uncultured bacterium
Lineage: Bacteria
Description: partial 16S ribosomal RNA
Rfam family: Bacterial small subunit ribosomal RNA
Source: RNAcentral